Anas platyrhynchos (mallard) is the source of this 3233-nucleotide non-coding RNA. The record is from RefSeq and is a predicted model, not a curated record. NCBI's taxonomy places the organism in Eukaryota, Metazoa, Chordata, Aves, Anseriformes, Anatidae.
AAAGUUGAACUAGAAACACUAAUUUGAAAUACGGUACUUAAAAAAUAAUGUGAAGUCCUUUCACUCCCUGGAGAUGUCUGGUUUCCCGAACAAAUGGAUGGAUUAUAACAAGCCAUUGUGUAUUAUUUUCUGUUUGUCAAUGACCUAGUUCCAGUGCUGUCUGUGAUACUUAACUGGGAAUAUAAAGCUUGGGGUAGAUCUUCAGCUGGAAUAAUUCAGCCCUGCUCACUGUACCAACACACAGUCGGAGGAAAGCAUCUUUCAGUGAACACACAACACUCAGGAAGUUUCAUUUCUUGGCUUGAAUAAAAUGAGAAAGAAAGAUGUCCUUCCAACAUCAGCAAACAGCUAUCUUUUUCAUAUCAAGAAUGGAGCUUGGAUGAAGACGCUCUGAUUUUUUGAAGCCAUAAACAAACAGAAGGAGACGCCACGUCACCCAGCAGCCGGGCACUGAGUGGGCAGUGGGAAAACCCAAGUCCUGCUGCUGGCCUCAUCCCUGAAAGUCUCCCUAAAAAGCCUUAUUUAAAUCAAUGCACUCUUCUUUGUUUCGCUCCACCCCUUGGCUGUUCUACCCCUGUACCUGGAUGCUUUGUAGGACAGAGGCAUGGUCAUUGAGUGGGACUCAUUCUGCACAAAGGGCUCCUCAGGCUGUAGGAACAUAUUCCAGUGCAUUACUGCAUAAAAUCCCUACUAUUCUGGAAGUUUUAGACAACAAAUAGCAAAGCAACAAUCUUUCUGUUUAGAAGCAGGAUGCAUAGAUGGGACUGAACAUGCUCAGGCAGCAUGAGUGCCAUAGCACCUAGGAGCACCAACCUCGCGGAGUGCAAAUCUAGGUAUUUUCGUGGUUGUCCAGGCUGUGAGCACAGAUGAGCGCUCCGUCCCCAAAUCAGAUGAUGCAGAUGCACUGCAACCCUUUCAGCGCAUUAGGGCAAUCCCUCUCCCUGCCCUUAAAACUCUCCCUUAAUUCAUGCUGGAAGCACAACUUGCUGUCACUUUGGACAGGGACGCAGGUAUUUUAAGGUAAACAGAAGUAAAAGAAAUCUAUAGGGGAGGUGGGCGAUUUCCAAAAGUGCCUGUCCCCCUGCCACCAGGGCAGCUCCCAUGGGAGCGGCCGAGGCCCGCUGAGGACGUCAGAGGGAGAGCCCCCCCUCUGAAUGGGUAGGAUGCUCGCUUGAAAAGCCGGUGGAUGCCAUGCUGUGUACACGCACUGUGCACUAUAAAUAGUAAUGUCUUCUCCGCUCCUCUCCAUGGAAAAAUCGGCAGGAGGGGAAAUAGUCUCAAAUCUGUGUCGUUUUCAAGCCAAAGAGAGCCAGGCUCAUUCUCUCCUCGGUGGGGAAGCCGUAGGUGGGGGGUAUGCCCCCAUAACCCUGUGGAGGCUGAGCAGCCAGAGGAUGAAGCGGGUUCCAGAUAAUGAAGCUGGGAGGAAGAGCUGCCCCCCCAGCCCUGCCAAGCAAGGAGACAGCCGCUGCGGAGGGUUCGCCUGGCGUCGUUCUGCAGGCGGCAUUAACUGCCACAUGGCUCCUCGAUCCCAAAAACGGCCCCGCGCACGGGGAGCACGCCCCAAAGAGCAGCUGCUCCCUGACACCGCUACUCCACAAAUCCCAGGGGGCUGCAGUGUGGAAACAUCACCGAGGACUCCCAAGGAGAGCAGAGAGCACUGCAGCAUGAUCUGCCUUCGUGUAGUGGAUAGCAGUGCCCUCGUUUUAUUUUUUCUUCCCCGGGAGCAUAAUUAGGACCACAUCUGCGAAGUUCAGCAGUAACACUGACACAAGAGCAGUGCCACUGCUCCUGCUCCCCAAGAUGCUUGCUCCAAGCAAGUUGCCUGGCAAAGUACUCACCCACGCAAUUCUGUGGCUCUGUUACAAAGCCAACCAUGGCACGAGUGUUUUCAAGUAGAAGAACAAAAGUAUGAGAAAGGAAAAGGCUUCACACAUCUUUAGUGUGGAGAAUGUAUUUAGUGCUCCCAGAAGCUAUUAGAUGGGGUGAUAUGGGCAAUUUAUUGUUUUGUCAAUAUCUUUUAUUUUGAUUUAAUAACUUACAAAAACUAGAGUCUAUCUGUAGCACAGCCUCAACUUCCUUUAUACAACCCCACUUAACUUUCAAACACUUUAACUUUCAGGUCAAAUCUCUGUCACAUUGAUAAAUGGAUCUAUUUAAAUUUUUAUCAGCAAAGAAUUCUCUCUGGUGUCUUAUUCGCUAUCAGAUUUCAUGCACAAAAUAACAGGAUACUUAUUAUUUUUUGUUAUCCACCACACACCACACACACACAAAAUCACAACAGAAAGCACAGAUGUCUUUGCAAAAUAUCCGUAAUUUAUAUGGAGACGCACGUGUGAGUGCAGGGAAGAUCUUGCAUUUCUAUAGAGAGUGUACGGCUUAUAUUGAUUAUUAGCUUAAAACAGAGACUUAUCAGCUCUCAUUUAAGUGUACCAUGUCAUUGCUACCACAUACUUGGGUAUUGCCAAUAUGGGUGUCCUGCAAUGCUGUAAUGUAUCACACCUACAGACAUUUCAUAUGGAGAGAGGUACAAUAUUUCUGGGAAUAAUGUGUAAAACACAAGGCAGAAAAACCUACUAUGGGGUAUAUACACUAGCCACUACCUAUCCCUGUGUUAACAAGUAAACAAGUCAAAUCAUUUUAUUCUCAUGCUCGUGAGGCAUUACUAUACAAGAAAUAGGGGCUUGGAGCGUUGUUUAAUCUUAUUUGGCUAUCUGACUAUUGCUUCAUUAAGCAAACCAGGGAAAAACUGCUGCAAAGUCAACACGUUUUUAGGUGUUAUUGUAAAUAAUCACCUGGUUUUCCUGCCAAUAAUCAGGACCAAAACUAUAAUCCUUAUAGCCCUAAGUAUGCUAUAUAUGUUUAACCUUUACUUUAAAAUGGUAUUAAAUACUGAACACUGUGGCUACUGUAAAGAUAGUAAAAACAGAUACUGGAGGAAUAUAACAGUGUUUAAUGACAAGUUACAAAGAGUUCUACUGAAAGAAAAGCAAGAGCAAGAGAGGUUAAAUAAACAGAAACCACAGUGCCUCCGAUCUUACAUUAACUUUCAAUAACUAGAAAGUAAAAUUUAUGCUAUAUAUGAUUAGAUUUCUCUGAUCUUUACAUUAAAUAUUUACUUCUAACUAUAAACUUAUGUGAGACCCAAACAAAAACUAAUUUGCAUUAUUAAUGAUGCAAGAAAUGUGAUGCUUAGUCUCUUAAGAUUUGUAAUAAAGAAGAAAAUAUGCUAAAGA